GAAUAUUUCGUUGCGAAUAUAUUUGAUUUUAGUUGCAUCAGUUUUGUAUGACGUUGCGUGGUUCGAUCUCGUUGACGAGGAACACGUCGGAUCGUGAGAUUUUAAAGCGUUUUAGUUCGUCGUCUGAUCCGGGACACGGUCGGCGAAGACGCGUGCGUGAGCGUUAGAAAGUAGCGGCGUUUAAAAGAAGACACGCCGGUUAGGGCGAACGCUCUCUGACCAGUGGCCCGAACGCACGGCUACGUGCCAAUAAACAGUUUUCCCUCUGAUUGAUGCCUCACUCACCUGACACACAGCGGGGCCUGCCAGGUGUGAGGCGACGGAAGAAAGAGAGCCGAAUUAUUAAUUCUAUCUAGCACUUUAUUCUCUCCCAUGGCCCGGUGCCAAGUGCGAAUUGCACGCGUACAGCUUCUAACCUCUUAGUUUCUUCCGAUCGACCGAACGACCCUGUGCUCGCCUCUCUCUCUCUCUCUCUCUCCUCCCCCCUCCCCCUCUACUCUUUUUUUGAAUUUUUGUGGAUUUUCGGUUCUACGGAUCCAGACCUGAACUCAUCUAGAUGUAAAAAUGAGCAGGAGUAGCUGCGAAUCGGAUGGAACCGUGAUGAAAGUUGCAAGUUUCUCGAUACGACGAUGCGAUGCAAGGAGGAUUGCAGGAGCAUAGGCGCAUGCGUAUACGCGUGGGAGCGUGGCACGCGCAGUGCCGGCUAAUUAUGUGGCACUCCUACGUGCCACGCGGCACAGGUAGGCCUGCCAGGAGGAUGGGGGCCCACGAUGGGGGAGUGCCAUUGCUCUAACAUCGCUAUCAUGCAGCUGUUCCAUGAGCUGAAGCAGCAGUUCCCUGCGCUCCCUGAUCACGUCGUUUCCCAGUGCAUCGCCCAGAAUAGCCACGAUCGGGAGACAUGCGCGAGAAGCCUUCGUGCCACUCAAGAGUCACGUCAGUCUCCGGGCGCGUUCCCACCGGCGGCACUUUGCGCCAUCCUCCAGCAACAGCAGCAACAGCAGCAACAUCAUCAACAUCAUCAACGAGCGAACCACCUGGCCGCGCAGCAGCAACGUUUCUGCACGAUGAGCCAGUUGCAACGCGCCAGCAACAGCAACAGCACGAACAACAAUACGCGACCACACAGACCAGCCUCGCUGGACAUUGGUAUGGCACGGCGCUGUCCCGUCAGCUGCACACGAGCAGCCGCGAUAUCAGCCUCGUCGCCGAUAGCUGCUGACUCAGCCAGCACACCUUCUUCAGCGCCUGCCGUCUGCACGACCGCGUCGCGCGGUUUCUUCGACGAUUGCACCGGACCGGGCGACGCGAACUGCCUUAACAAAGUCCAGAACGCGGGAAACGAGCCAGCCGGAUUCGAGCUGAACGUGAACGUUGCCUGCAGCCCUGCUGGCAAUCGCGACUUUCGAACGGUGCCUACGAUCGCUGGUGCCUGUAAACGAAGCGAUCUGCUGCUCGACCCACGGACUCAUUACGCCGAGCCGUUGCUCAACGUGGAGAACACGGGCCCGCAGAUCGAUCACACGCGAAGCUACACCUCGGUUAGUCUGACGCUGAGGCCGCCAUCCUCGGAACCGCAGCCUCCGAUCGACAUCAGAUCGCAGGGCUCGAGCCUGACAUACUCGAGCUCCUCCCUGGAUCCCCGGGGCUUUCAAAGCCGUCUUCAGAUUAGCAUCGGCGCGGGAGCCGUUGGCGGUGUGGCGGCUGCGAGAAUCAGACCUCCGAUGGGCCCUGUCAGGCCCAACAGCUUGAUACCGCCGGUACAAACCGGUCCUCAGAGACCACCAGUUGCAGGUCUUCCAGCAGGACCACCUAGUCAGUUACCGAGGCCCACGACGACAAUGAGCGCCCCGACCACACCUUCUGUACCAUCCACGACAAACAUCGCCCCCUCCAUUAGCCUUCCGACAACACCGUCAGGACCGACCACGACCUCGCCGCCCUCCAGUCCCAUUGGCGAACGAAUACCGGCCAAUUCUGAUCAGAGCCGAUCGCCGUUGAAUCAAGUGGCGGAGCAUCAAAGGGAAUUGGUCGCCGAGCAGUUAGCAAGAAAAGAUAGACUCGCCAGGGAAUUGAGAGCCGAGAAAGGACGACUCGAAGCUAUGAAGAAAGAAUUGCAGUCCCUCACGAGGCCCCUUGAUUCUUCGAUGCCUCCUCAGGAACUGAAAAAAAAAUUGAGGAGCGAGAUCUAUCAGCUACAAGUUGAAUGCGACAGACUUGCGGAUGAGGUAGAUCAGUGGUCUGACCCGAGAGUACCUUUGGGCGAAACGAACGAAAAGUUUUAUCAGCGUAUUUACACGGGUCAGCCCCUACCAUCGAGAUCUGCCAGCGCCGACCCACCGCCUCUGCCGAGUCAGCCACCCGCCUGGCAACCGGAACCGAGCGGUAACAACGUCGAUAGAGAGGAACGAGACGGACCUUCUUGGGUCUGUAGAAUGUGCACCUUCGACAAUCAUCCAUUGAUGAAUAAAUGCGAACAGUGCGACAUGCCGAGGCUGUUGGAUCACGGAAACACAGGUACGACUUCCGGAAAAUCGAUAGACGACCUUACGGCCUCGUUAACACGCUUGAACAUCGAUUCGCCACCUCCGCCGCCUCCAGCACCUCUGGGAAAGUAAAAUCCAGUAUCUUAACAGCAUGUCCAUUUCUUGCUAUGACAUUCUUGUGAAUUGACCGAUUUGUUUCAAAACGAUGAUAUUUUGUGAAAUACCGGAGAUGUACGGUCCCCUAUACUUUGCUACUGGUGAUCGAAUGUGUUACAAGAGGUGACAUUUCCUGUUGUAAAAUAUUUGCUCGUAAGCGAGAAAAUUGUUUUACGACCACCGCAAAGCAUCGAUGUGACAUCAAUAAAACAUGACUAUACGACGCACUUGAACGUAACGCAUGGACGUGCGCUAUCCUCUUCCUUCUUUCUUUUCUCUUCUUUUUUUUUCUUUCUUUUUCUCUCUUUUUUUUCUUUUCUUUUAAAUAAACCCAAAAAUUAAAAAUUUGAAUUUGAUCCUAACCCGAGAGGCAUGUUUAAUUUAGCAUAUGUUACAGUGUCAAUUUUUCCUAAUUAUUAAUAGUUUAAUCUGUUUAAUCGUUUCGACGAGUCGGUAAUCGUAAAUUGGCGAAACUCAAGAUAUUCAUAUACGAGUUACACAUCAUCACAACUUCUCUCCGAGCCGGAUAGUGCAUAGUUGGGUGGUAUGAUGUGAACUGCGUUAGAAACGUGAAAACUGUAUAUAAAAUCACUAUUUAAGUUAAUUAAAAGGUAGCAGCCAACAGAUCGGCAAAGGAGAACAUUUAAAUUUAAAUAACUUGAUUGAGUUCAACUUUUUGUUUAUUCAAGAGAUCAAUGUGUAACUCGAUUUUUGAUAACAAUGGAUUCAGGUUUAAGAUUGGAAUACAACGUACCGUAAAAUGUACCAUUCUCACUUCUGAUUACUAAAUAAUCAACGACUUAUCAGUAGUCUGACUUCUAUUUGUAUGAGUUUUGAAAUACUAUUUAAAAUACAAGAUAUUUGUAGUAA
RNA transcript from Bombus pyrosoma, 3509 nucleotides. It is a transcript of the gene named TGF-beta-activated kinase 1 and MAP3K7-binding protein 3, with no coding region annotated. The record is from RefSeq and is a predicted model, not a curated record. Lineage: Eukaryota; Metazoa; Arthropoda; Insecta; Hymenoptera; Apidae. The transcript is spliced from 11 exons.